AAGGGUUUCGGCUCGUAAAACUCUGUUGUUAAAGAAGAACAUAUCUGAGAGUAACUGUUCAGGUAUUGACGGUAUUUAACCAGAAAGCCACGGCUAACUACGUGCCAGCAGCCGCGGUAAUACGUAGGUGGCAAGCGUUGUCCGGAUUUAUUGGGCGUAAAGCGAGCGCAGGCGGUUUUUUAAGUCUGAUGUGAAAGCCUUCGGCUCAACCGAAGAAGUGCAUCGGAAACUGGGAAACUUGAGUGCAGAAGAGGACAGUGGAACUCCAUGUGUAGCGGUGAAAUGCGUAGAUAUAUGGAAGAACACCAGUGGCGAAGGCGGCUGUCUGGUCUGUAACUGACGCUGAGGCUCGAAAGUAUGGGUAGCAAACAGGAUUAGAUACCCUGGUAGUCCAUACCGUAAACGAUGAAUGCUAAGUGUUGGAGGGUUUCCGCCCUUCAGUGCUGCAGCUAACGCAUUAAGCAUUCCGCCUGGGGAGUACGGCCGCAAGGCUGAAACUCAAAGGAAUUGACGGGGGCCCGCACAAGCGGUGGAGCAUGUGGUUUAAUUCGAAGCUACGCGAAGAACCUUACCAGGUCUUGACAUACUAUGCAAAUCUAAGAGAUUAGACGUUCCCUUCGGGGACAUGGAUACAGGUGGUGCAUGGUUGUCGUCAGCUCGUGUCGUGAGAUGUUGGGUUAAGUCCCGCAACGAGCGCAACCCUUAUUAUCAGUUGCCAGCAUUAAGUUGGGCACUCUGGUGAGACUGCCGGUGACAAACCGGAGGAAGGUGGGGAUGACGUCAAAUCAUCAUGCCCCUUAUGACCUGGGCUACACACGUGCUACAAUGGAUGGUACAACGAGUUGCGAACUCGCGAGAGUAAGCUAAUCUCUUAAAGCCAUUCUCAGUUCGGAUUGUAGGCUGCAACUCGCCUACAUGAAGUCGGAAUCGCUAGUAAUCGCGGAUCAGCAUGCCGCGGUGAAUACGUUCCCGGGCCUUGUACACACCGCCCGUCACACCAUGAGAGUUUGUAACAUCCAAAGUCGGUGGGGUAACCUAAUAGGAACCAGCCGACGCAGUAGGGGGUUCUCGUCUC
RNAcentral lists this ribosomal RNA (1075 nucleotides) under Lactiplantibacillus plantarum. RNAcentral's name for it is "bacterial SSU rRNA". It matches the Rfam family "Bacterial small subunit ribosomal RNA", at positions 411 to 1476 of the family's 1533-position model. Lineage: Bacteria; Bacillati; Bacillota; Bacilli; Lactobacillales; Lactobacillaceae. The record is from RNAcentral.